AAGCUUUAACAAAUUCAGGGAGAUAGUAAAGGACAGGGAAGCCUGGCGUGCUGCAGUUCAUGGGGUUUCAGAGUCAGAAGCGACUCAGCAACUGAACCACCACCACCUACUAUUACAAGAAAUCCACAUGGAACAAUGAGAACUAGCGU
This is a long non-coding RNA of Cervus elaphus (red deer), 149 nucleotides long. RefSeq lists it as uncharacterized. Lineage: Eukaryota; Metazoa; Chordata; Mammalia; Artiodactyla; Cervidae. The record is from RefSeq and is a predicted model, not a curated record. The transcript has 3 exons.